UACGUAGGGUGCAAGCGUUAAUCGGAAUUACUGGGCGUAAAGCGUGCGCAGGCGGUUAUGCAAGACAGAUGUGAAAUCCCCGGGCUUAACCUGGGAACCGCAUUUGUGACUGCAUAGCUGGAGUACGGUAGAGGGGGAUGGAAUUCCGCGUGUAGCAGUGAAAUGCGUAGAUAUGCGGAGGAACACCGAUGGCGAAGGCAGUCCCCUGGGCCUGUACUGACGCUCAUGCACGAAAGCGUGGGGAGCAAACAGG
This 253-nucleotide ribosomal RNA is filed under the name uncultured bacterium. Its description in RNAcentral is "partial 16S ribosomal RNA". It matches the Rfam family "Bacterial small subunit ribosomal RNA", at positions 524 to 776 of the family's 1533-position model. The record is from RNAcentral.